Molecule: transfer RNA, 68 nt
Filed under: Marmota monax (woodchuck)
Lineage: Eukaryota; Metazoa; Chordata; Mammalia; Rodentia; Sciuridae
Description: tRNA.Ala
Source: RNAcentral
GGAUUGUGGCUCAGCGGUAGAGCACUCGCCUAGCACGUGCAAGGCCCUGAGUUCGAUCUUCAGCACCA